This 389-nucleotide unclassified non-coding RNA is filed under the name Hevea brasiliensis (rubber tree). The record is from RNAcentral. Lineage: Eukaryota; Viridiplantae; Streptophyta; Magnoliopsida; Malpighiales; Euphorbiaceae.
AAAGAAACUGUGGAGACUUCAGUUAGAAAGACUGGAAGACUUCUUAUUAGUCAUGAAGCUCCAGUGACUGGAGGUUUUGGUGCUGAAAUCUCUGCAUCUAUUGUUGAACGUUGCUUCUUAAGGUUAGAAGCUCCUGUUGCUAGAGUUUGCGGUCUGGAUACGCCCUUCCCUCUUGUUUUUGAGCCAUUCUAUAUGCCCACCAAGAACAAAAUAAUGGAUGCGAUCAAAUCAACUGUAAAUUACUAGAAUUUUAGUUCUCUGUUCUAACUGCUAUGUUUAACAUAUGCCAUCAUCCAGAAGCAAUUACAUGAAUUAAUGCAAACAGGAGUUCCAAAAUUGUGCCUGUAAAUGUGAAAAUAAGUAGCAAGCCAUUCAAGGCUGCAUGUUCA